AAUGGCUGACUAGGACUUCGCGGGCGAUAACGAGGAAGCCGGGGAGGGGGAGGAAGAGGCGAUGAGUAGCAGGGACCAAUCGCUUUCAAAACAGUUUCUAUUUUGCUUCUUGUGGGCUUGGUCGGCAGCAGAUACUUGUUCCUGCAGAACCUGGCGCUGGAUUGAUUCUCCCAGAAGAGGAAUCUUGGGACGUUGAUGCUAUGGCAAAAACUGAUGUGGUGAUUUUUUUUCUGGCAAAAGCACAGAAUUGAUGCUUCAGACUCUGAAGAGGCUUUCGUUUCAUUAGGAAUAAAAUGAGUCACGAAGACAAAACAGGGAAGUGGAAAACAUAUUAAGUGCAGCUUGGCUGGACAAAGUAUCCGAUUAAAGCACGCAAUUAAGUAGUAUUUAAAAAGGGUGUUUUCUCACCACAUCACCUAGCCAUACUGUGCUUGAAUCUGCAAUCCAGUGAUCUGCUUUCAACAUAUCUCAAGAAAUUGCAAAACUCAGUGUAACUAGAGCUGAGUAGCAUUUACUGUGAGGUCUCUGGAUCUUCCUGGGAGAAAGAAAAGAUGGGUUUCUCUGAAAUUGAAAAGACAGGGCAAAAGCUCCCUUUGAAUCCAGAUGCAGCAGAGAAUGGGGAAUGUAGUGGAAUCACAAGUAAUGGAAGCACCAAACAAGCAAGAGAAGUCUUCUCUCCGAAACCAGGCCAUUUUCCAUAUGGUUUGUGCAAUAAUG
Non-coding RNA from Podarcis muralis (Common wall lizard), 717 nucleotides. The record is from RefSeq and is a predicted model, not a curated record. NCBI's taxonomy places the organism in Eukaryota, Metazoa, Chordata, Lepidosauria, Squamata, Lacertidae.